This 73-nucleotide transfer RNA is filed under the name Neotoma lepida (desert woodrat). It matches the Rfam family "tRNA". From Rfam's summary of the family: Transfer RNA (tRNA) molecules are approximately 80 nucleotides in length. Their secondary structure includes four short double-helical elements and three loops (D, anti-codon, and T loops). Further hydrogen bonds mediate the characteristic L-shaped molecular structure. tRNAs have two regions of fundamental functional importance: the anti-codon, which is responsible for specific mRNA codon recognition, and the 3' end, to which the tRNAs corresponding amino acid is attached (by aminoacyl-tRNA synthetases). tRNAs cope with the degeneracy of the genetic code in two manners: having more than one tRNA (with a specific anti-codon) for a particular amino acid; and 'wobble' base-pairing, i.e. permitting non-standard base-pairing at the 3rd anti-codon position. Lineage: Eukaryota; Metazoa; Chordata; Mammalia; Rodentia; Cricetidae. The record is from Rfam by way of RNAcentral.
GGAGAUAUGGCUCAGUGGUUAAGAGCACUAGCUGCUCUUCCAGGGGACCUGGGUUUGGUUCCCAGCAUGUCUA